Molecule: non-coding RNA, 243 nt
Organism: Arachis ipaensis
Lineage: Eukaryota; Viridiplantae; Streptophyta; Magnoliopsida; Fabales; Fabaceae
Source: RefSeq, a predicted model, not a curated record
GGCGCAAACUCAGCAUACAUCAUAGCUCAUAUAUCAUGUUGUAACUGAGGCAUUUCAGGUCAGUUUAGUGGUUAUAUAUCAUUAGCACUUGGAAGGAUUCUUGGUCUCGGAGCUCGAUUUGGGGUCUAUGAAAUCAUCACUGCCUUUUAUAAGGCUUCAGUUGCUGCUGCGGCUUCUCAUGCCUUUGAUACUACAAGAACUAGAUCACAGUGCACUGUGCUACCAAAGGGAUAUUCUACAACU